Callithrix jacchus (white-tufted-ear marmoset) is the source of this 109-nucleotide Y RNA. It matches the Rfam family "Y RNA". Rfam says of the family: Y RNAs are components of the Ro ribonucleoprotein particle (Ro RNP), in association with Ro60 and La proteins. The Y RNAs and Ro60 and La proteins are well conserved, but the function of the Ro RNP is not known. NCBI's taxonomy places the organism in Eukaryota, Metazoa, Chordata, Mammalia, Primates, Cebidae. The record is from Ensembl.
GUCUGGUCCGAAGGUAGUUAUCUCAAUUGAUUGUUCACAGUCAGUUACAGAUCGAACUCCUUGUUCUACUCUUUCCCCCCUUCUCACUACUGCACUUGACUAGUCUUAA